CUGUAUACAUGAAAUUCAGUGAAUAAUCGAAACGACUGGCCCAAUAGUAUAUGCCUCAUUUUGUUAUUUAUAAAAAUAAACACAUCCCAAUUUUGGUAUGCUCUGCAGCUCUGGCUGAAAUGUAUUUUGAUAAGAUUCCAGUUAUGAAUUCACUCCUCCACUCUCUCCAGUAAUUUUAUAGCUCAGUGGUAUGAACGGGCGAUACCGGACCAAAGUCUGAAACAAUAAAGUGUAGCAGUGGCAUUGCCGUCGAUUAGUGAUGAAAUAUCCUUCAAGCUUCGAGAGGUUUAGUAAAAGUCUCUUGGCGCUGCGCGACUCGGGGAUUUUACUAAACCUCUCUCGGUUUUCGGGUACAUUUAAUCACUAAUCUCCUUGAAUGCCUUGCUAUUACUCAUGGGCGUACCGGAAGGAAAAAAUUAG
This is a non-coding RNA of Paramuricea clavata, 420 nucleotides long. The record is from the annotation of a GenBank genome assembly. Lineage: Eukaryota; Metazoa; Cnidaria; Anthozoa; Malacalcyonacea; Plexauridae.